Molecule: transfer RNA, 66 nt
Filed under: Agrypninae sp. GTI-132
Lineage: Eukaryota; Metazoa; Arthropoda; Insecta; Coleoptera; Elateridae
Description: tRNA-Phe
Source: RNAcentral
AUUCUAAUAGCUUAUAUUUUAGAGCAUGAUAGUGAAGUUAUCAAAGAGAUUUUUUAUCUUAGAAUA